RNAcentral lists this ribosomal RNA (253 nucleotides) under uncultured bacterium. RNAcentral's name for it is "partial 16S ribosomal RNA". It matches the Rfam family "Bacterial small subunit ribosomal RNA", at positions 524 to 776 of the family's 1533-position model. The record is from RNAcentral.
GACGAACCGUGCGAACGUUGUUCGGAAUCACUGGGCUUAAAGGGCGCGUAGGCGGGCCGCCAGGUCCGCGGUGAAAUCCCCCGGCUCAACCGGGGAAGUGCCGCGGGGACCGGCGGUCUGGAGUGAGAUAGGGGCGUGCGGAACUGUGGGUGGAGCGGUGAAAUGCGUUGAUAUCCACAGGAACUCCGGUGGCGAAGGCGGCACGCUGGAUCUCUACUGACGCUGAGGCGCGAAAGCCAGGGGAGCGAACGGG